UACGUAGGGUGCGAGCGUUAAUCGGAAUUACUGGGCGUAAAGCGUGCGCAGGCGGCGCGUUAAGACAGGUGUGAAAGCCCCGAGCUUAACUUGGGAAUUGCGCUUGUGACUGGCGUGCUGGAGUGUGGCAGAGGGAGGUGGAAUUCCACGUGUAGCAGUGAAAUGCGUAGAGAUGUGGAGGAACACCGAUGGCGAAGGCAGCCUGCUGGGCCAGCACUGACGCUCAUGCACGAAAGCGUGGGGAGCAAACAGG
Molecule: ribosomal RNA, 253 nt
Filed under: uncultured bacterium
Lineage: Bacteria
Description: partial 16S ribosomal RNA
Rfam family: Bacterial small subunit ribosomal RNA
Source: RNAcentral